GCAGGGUGGAUAUGAUCACUUGAUUGGUACAUCAGAGCAUGGACUAGUUGUUAACUCAUCACAGCUUAAUUUACCUGCAUUUAGGCAUUAUUAAUUGCUUUUGGUGGAACUUGGGGGGAGAAGAGUGUAGAUGAAGAUCAUAAAUUAAAGGGAAAAAUGUCCGCGACAUAUUCGACUUGUAUUUGAACACGUGUCCGCAUCAAGGAAGUCGAACAAUUCGAACAGAGGAAGCAAUCUUGAUAUCACUCCAAUAUUUACAAGAACCAAUAACUCGAGCAAUGCAAAGAGAUGCGAGCUGAAGAUAACUUGGGAGUAUCAGAUAUGUUGAACCAUAGGAUUGAUUUCUUCACGUAG
This is a long non-coding RNA of Hibiscus syriacus, 354 nucleotides long. RefSeq lists it as uncharacterized. The transcript is spliced from 4 exons. NCBI's taxonomy places the organism in Eukaryota, Viridiplantae, Streptophyta, Magnoliopsida, Malvales, Malvaceae. The record is from RefSeq and is a predicted model, not a curated record.